GGUUCCUUUGAACAUCGUGGAGAAGGUCGUGACCGUUGGACUGCAGCUGUCUUCCUCUUCAUCACUCUAGCAGCCAUCUCUGUUCUGCUGCUGGUUUCUCUGGUCGUCAUCACGCUGAGACGUCACCGUCUGACCUGCCGUCCGUCUUCCAUCAGUGAUAAGGAGGAGCUGCUUCAAGAUCCAGAUGAGUCCUCUCUGGAGUCUCUGGCCGUCCCAGAGAGCCCCAAACUGGACGAGGCCUGAGAAGAGGGUCCGGGGCCCACAGAGGUUCCUGGGCCCACAGAGGUUCCUGGGCCCACAGAGGUUCCUGGGCCCACAGAGGGUUCUGGUUUGAUCUUAAACCUGCUAUAAUCUGGAUUAUUUUAAUCAUACCUUCAGAUUCUAAACACAACUGUUGGUUUCUCGUUUUUAAGCUUUGCUUCUGUAGUGUGAACGUUGAUUCAAUGAUAAGUUAGGAAACACAAAAUUAAAUGAUGAUUUAAAUGACAUUAAACUUUAAACAUUUGAAGUCAUUUCUUAAGUAAAUCCUCUAAUUAUUUUUAGUGUUUCUAUAAAGUCUAUUCUUUUAAUAAUCGUAAAUGAUUUGUGUUUGUUGUACUUUGACAAAAUCAGCAAUAUGAAGGCGUCACUUUGAUUCUGGUGACUUUUAUGUUGUAGGGGUUAAACAAUUAAAUAUGUAGUCAAAAGUGUGUUUUUUAUUAGGUUUAAUGUUAACACCAUCAGUGUAAAUUAAAAAGUAAUCAGAGGACGCAGCAAUGACAUUCACUGGAGCCUGCUUUUCCCAUGAUGCAACACGAUGGCGUCUUUCAUUAGAGCCUCGUCAGCUGCUCACUUAUUUAUUACCUGAUGGGUUUAGUUACUGGUUAAACAGCUGUUUUUAUUAUUAGGAGUUUAUGUAUCAGGAGUCCUGUUUCAUGCAAAUAUUAGUUUCAUAUCAAAAGUAAAUGCACACAUCUAUUAAAAUGAAUUUAAAGAAAUCUUUCAUGAUAAUUAGGAUAAUUAAUUAUCCUUAUUAGUUAAUAGUCAGUAGUAAAUCAUUUUAUUAAUUUUUCUUUGGAGAAAUACAUUGUUUUGAUAUAAACUGACUAAUUUUAUCUGUAAAUCAGCAGCAUCAUGUUGUGUUUUAUAAUGAUAGUUACAGCAUAAACAUUCAGAUUAUUCAAUAAGAUGUAAUGAUGUUUGAUGUGUUUGAACUGAAGAUCUGAGGUCACUCUGUACUCAACCGUCUCAAUAAAACUUUAACACCUCGUU
Molecule: long non-coding RNA, 1251 nt
Organism: Anarrhichthys ocellatus (wolf-eel)
Lineage: Eukaryota; Metazoa; Chordata; Actinopteri; Perciformes; Anarhichadidae
Exons: 3
Source: RefSeq, a predicted model, not a curated record